Non-coding RNA from Leptonychotes weddellii (Weddell seal), 4528 nucleotides. NCBI's taxonomy places the organism in Eukaryota, Metazoa, Chordata, Mammalia, Carnivora, Phocidae. The record is from RefSeq and is a predicted model, not a curated record.
GCCUCUUCCGGGUCCCGGGCUUCGCGGCAGAUUCGUCGCGAUCUGCCCGCGGGGUCCGGCCCCACAGACUCGAAAAAUUCAGCGGCAGCUCUGCCAACGCACGGGGAGCUCGUGCUCCGCGGUCUCACGCUCUAGUCCGCGAACCGCGUGCGGAGCUGGGCCUCGGCGGCCGGGGCGAAUCGGCGGAGGGGUGGUAGCGGCGGGGCUGCCCGUGAGCGCGCCGGCGAGACUCCGGGACCGAGUGGGAUGGAUCCAGCGCAGUCUGCAGUCACGCUCACCGUCCGGGAAGCACUUCAUACCCUUUCCUCUUCUGAGGAUGGCGGCCACCUCCUUUCCACCCUGGGGGCCCUGAAACGGUAUCUCAGUGGAGCAGAGAACUCAGCCCUUCCCGGGGAGCAGGAGGAGUUUGCCAGGAUGCACUUUCCCGCCGUUCUCCGAUGUCUAGUGGGUAGGCUGAGCCCAGGCUGGCUGGAGCUUCUGCCCGACGGCCAGCUGGAGGACCUGUGGGCCAGCUUUUUCCUGGAGGGCCCUGCUGACCAAGCCUUCCUGGUGCUGAUGGAGUCCAUCGAGGGUGCUGCCGGCCCGAGCUUCCGUCUGAUGAAGAUGGCGCAGCUGCUGGCCAGGUUCCUGAGCGCGGGCAGGAUGGCCGCGGUGAUGGAGGGCCAGUCUCGGCAGCUGACGGAGCCGGCCUUCCGCCUGCUCCAGGAGACGCUCCUCACCAAGGUGGUGGGCUUGCCCGACCACCUAGGCAACCGUCUGCAGCAGGAGAACCUGGAGGCAUUCCUCCCCCAGAAUUACUUCCCUCUGCUCGGGGAGGAGAUCAUGCGGGUGCUGCAGGCGGUGGUGGACUCUCUCCGAGGUGGCUGGGACUGCUCCGUCUCCUUCCUGUCUCAGGUGCUCGGGAAGGCCUGUGUCCACGGGAGACAGAAGGAGAUCUUGGGCGUGCUGGUGCCGCGGCUGACGGCGCUCACCCAGGGCAGCUGCCUCUGGCGGCGCGUGUGCUGGCGCCUGGUGGAGUGUGUGCCCGACCGGGCCAUGGAGGCUCUGCUAAUGGGACUGGUGGAGGCUGCCUCGGGGCCCGACGUCCUCUCACGGCUCCUGGGGAACCUGGUGUUGAAGAGUAAGAAGGCCCAGUUUGUGAUGACCCGAAAAAUUCUGUUCCUACAGUAUCGAUACUCGACGCCCAUGCUACAGAGCCUGCUGGGGUACCUGGCCAUGGACAGCCAGCGGCGCCUGCUCCUCAGACAGGCGCUGAAGGAGCUCCUGGAGACGUGGGGCAGCCCCAGUGCCGUCCGCCACACGCCUCUGCCGCAGCAACGCUAUGUCAGCUCGGCCCUGCUCAUCUGCCUGGCGCACCUGCAGGACACGGAGCUCCGGGACAGCCGGGACGAGCUGCUGGCUAGCCUCAUGGCGGGAGUAAAGACUCGUCUGGACAGCAGCCUGCCCGCUGUGCGCCGCCUGGGCAUGAUUGUGGCCGGAGUAGCCAGCACCCGGAUCCACCCUGACGGGCCUCCCUUGAGGUUCCAGUACGAAGAGGAUGAGCUGAGCCGCGAGCUGCUGGCCCUGGCGGUGACCCCGCCUGUGGCUGACAGCCGCUCGGAGGUGGAGGCAAGCCCGGCUGUAGAGACCCCUGACGGAGGGAGCACGGACGGUGACGUCCCCCAGGCCCAGUUGGAGGGCUCGGGCUCUGACCUGGACAGUGACGAUGAGCUUGUCCCCUAUGACAUGUCGGGGGACCAAGAGCUGAAGAGUGGGAAGGCGCCUGCCUAUGUCCGGGACUGCGUGGAAGCCCUGACCUCAUCCGAGGACUGGGAGCGCUGGGAGGCAGCCCUGCGAGCCCUCGAGGGGCUGAUUGUCAGGAGCCCGGCUGCCGCCCGCGAGGUGAGCGUGGAGCUGGCCAAGGUGCUCUUGCACCUGGAGGAGAAGACGAGCGUGGUGGGGUUUGAGGGGCUGCGCCAGCGAGCCCUGGUGGCUGUCGUGGUCACAGACCCGGCCCCGGUCGCAGAGUAUCUGACCUCACAAUUCUACGCCCUCAACUUCAGCCUCCGGCAGCGCAUGGACAUCCUGGACGUCCUGACUCUGGCUGCCCAGCAGCUGUCUCGGCCUGGGCGCCUCCCCAAGGCUCCCCAGUGUGGCUCCCCGAGUCCCGCCUCCCAGCCCAGCAGCACCCAGGCUCCCGCCUGGCGGGCAGUCGUGCAGGAGCGGAUCAGAAGCAAGACCCGGCGGUUCUCUCAGCGCUCUCCCAGGUGGGGGCCGGACGCUGGCCCCAACGAAUUCAACUUGGUGGCUGGCUACUUCUUCUUCCCCCUCAUUCGGCACUUUGACAGGCCCCUGGUGACCUUUGACCUUUUGGGAGAGGACCAACUGGUUCUUGGGAGAUUGGUCCACACCUUAGGGGCCCUGAUGUACCUGGCUGUGAACACCACGGUGGCUGUGGCCAUGGGCAAGGCCCUCUUGGAGUUUGUGUGGACCCUUCGCUUCCAUGGUGACGCCUAUGUGCGCCGGGGCCUGCUGUCCGCAGUCUCCUCUGUCCUGCUCAGCGUUCCGGCCGAGCGACUGCUGGCCGACCUGCCUGAUGAGCUGCUGGAAGCCCGGCCCUGGCUGGCGGAUGUGGCGGAGCAGGACCCCGAUGAGGACUGCAGGGUGCUGGCGGUGAAAGCGCUCCUGCUUCUGGAGAAGCUCAGAGACACACUUGUCCCGCUGUCGUCUCCUUAGUCCCUGCUCAAGAAGGCCCUGCCCCGCUGGGGCUAGCCCGGCUGGCCUGAGGGCUCUGCCAGCGGUCCACGCGAGGGCCUCUGGUGCUGCCCCCGUGGACAGGGCCACCUGAACGUGGCCCAGGGGUCCCGAGGAGGGACGGAGCCGCUGGGGCCCCUGCGGGCUGCUUCUUAGCCUGUCCCCAAGCCCCUUCCUCACCUGAAUGCAGACUUUAAAAAACCACAAAAAGGAAGAAUAAAAAGGAGCUGCAGGAGCUGGGGACAGAGCUGCACCCGCAAGGCUGCCUCGUGGAGGAAACCCGCCCCGCAGAGGCCACCGUGUCACCUGGGCAAGGCCACCCCCAUGUCCAUUCCAGUGGACACCAGGACCUGUGGUCAGGAAUGGUGCGUCCCGCUGGAAAUAGUUGUGCUCUCAGGUGCCUGCCUGUGUGCUGGGACGAGGCGCAGUGAAUAUACUAACACGCACAGUCCAUCGAGUUCUAGUGUUUUAGGUUUUACAAUUUGUACUUGGGAGACUGUCACGGAAAAGAUGAGCCAACUCCCUUCCUAGUAAAGGGACCGCAGGGGCUAGGAAUGCCGGAAGGACACACGAUUGCCCCUUCUAAGCAGGAUAGCCAGUGCCCUGGGGCAUCAAAUACCAGUUUAUAUUUCAACAAGAAAGUCAGGCUCUUGCUACCAACCCCGGAAAGUUCCAGAGGAGCUUGCAGCAGCGGCUAUCAGGGGUCACUCUCCACCUCUUCCACCACCUCCUCGUCUACUUCCUUGUGGUCCUCCACGCUGUUGUGGCGGAUGCGCUCAGGCACGGUGCGCACCAGAGGGAUGCCCAGGCCCUGGUGCACGGCAUCCACGGUCCGCUGGUUCACGUAGUAGGACAUGUUGGCAGAGGGCACUCGCUUCCGCAUCUCCUCCAGGUACUUGUAGGCCUGGGUUGGGACAGCCGUUACCAGGUUAGUGCACGGCGAAAACCAAAGAGCCCACACCCUCUGUCCGGGGCGGUGAGUUUCCUGGACACCCACCCCGUGCCUUCACAAGAGGGGCCUGGGGACAACUGUCUAUGACCGCACAGCUUUUCCGAGGGCUGGCGGUGUCCAAAGCUUGGGCUCUGACUGUGCUGUCGGCUGUGGUUAGCACUCCCAGCUGAGCAGGAAAGCCCUGUGAGCAGCUUGGGUUGGAGGACCCGAGUGUUUGGGGGCCACGCUCCCUGCAGGAGACAUGAGGGAAGGAGGCAUUCACACUGCAGACGGCUCCAGGGUGGCAGGGCAGGCGGCCAAUGUAUGCCGUCCACCUGGUUUUCUCUGACCAAGCAUCAAAUCUGCCCCACCUUGUUGGGCCUAGGAUCAGUCUGAAUCUCUUGUAUAUAUGGUUCUCGAUCAUAAGCCAGUAAACCGUGGAGCUGUCAGUGGUUUUCCUGUGGAACUUACUCUGGUUCUGCCAGUGGGAAUAUGUGGGAGAGCCUGGGGUUGAGGGACCUGAGCCUCCCACAGAGCACCACACUUAUAUCUGCCCACACCUGUCCACGCGUGCCUACGCCUGCCCACGCCUGCUAUACCUGCCUGCACGUGCCUACACCUGCCCGCACGUGUCCGUGCCUCUCCAUGCCUGCUAUACCUGCCCACACCUGCCUACACCUGUCCACACCUGGUAUACCUGCCUGCAUGUGUCCACACCUGUCCACACCUGCUAUAUCUGCCUGCACGUGCCUACACCUGCCCGCACGUGUCCGCACCUGCCCACGCCUUUUACACCUGCCCGCACCUAAGCAUGAGGAGAGGAAUAGGUCUCAUGUGGCUUCUAACGCUUACCACCAAGUUCAG